RNAcentral lists this unclassified non-coding RNA (348 nucleotides) under soil metagenome. Its description in RNAcentral is "partial contains 5.8S ribosomal RNA, internal transcribed spacer 2, and large subunit ribosomal RNA". The stretch from base 1 to 120 matches the Rfam family "5.8S ribosomal RNA", at positions 35 to 154 of the family's 154-position model. The record is from RNAcentral.
GAUGAAGAACGUAGUGAACUGCGAUAAGUAAUGUGAAUUGCAGAAUUCAGUGAAUCAUCGAAUCUUUGAACGCACAUUGCGCCCGCUGGUAUUCCGGCGGGCAUGCCUGUUCGAGCGUCAUUUCAACCCUCAAGCCCCCGGGUUUGGUGUUGGGGAUCGGCUCUGCCCUUCUGGGCGGUGCCGCCCCCGAAAUACAUUGGCGGUCUCGCUGCAGCCUCCAUUGCGUAGUAGCUAACACCUCGCAACUGGAACGCGGCGCGGCCAUGCCGUAAAACCCCAACUUCUGAAUGUUGACCUCGGAUCAGGUAGGAAUACCCGCUGAACUUAAGCAUAUCAAUAAGCGGAGGA